CCUACGGGAGGCAGCAGUAGGGAAUAUUGCUCAAUGGGGGAAACCCUGAAGCAGCAACGCCGCGUGGAGGAUGAAGGUUUUCGGAUUGUAAACUCCUUUUGUUAGAGAAGAUAAUGACGGUAUCUAACGAAUAAGCACCGGCUAACUCCGUGCCAGCAGCCGCGGUAAUACGGAGGGUGCAAGCGUUACUCGGAAUCACUGGGAGUAAAGAGCGCGUAGGCGGGAUAGCAAGUCAGAUGUGAAAUCCUAUGGCUUAACCAUAGAACUGCAUUUGAAACUGUUAUUCUAGAGUAUGGGAGAGGUAGGUGGAAUUCUUGGGGGAGGGGUAAAAUCCGUAGAGAUCAAGAGGAAUACUCAUUGCGAAGGCGACCUACUAGAACAUAACGGACGCUGAUGCGCGAAAGCGUGGGGAGCAAACAGGAUUAGAUACCCGUGUAGUC
Molecule: ribosomal RNA, 440 nt
Filed under: uncultured bacterium
Lineage: Bacteria
Description: partial 16S ribosomal RNA
Rfam family: Bacterial small subunit ribosomal RNA
Source: RNAcentral